This 301-nucleotide ribosomal RNA is filed under the name uncultured bacterium. RNAcentral's name for it is "partial 16S ribosomal RNA". It matches the Rfam family "Bacterial small subunit ribosomal RNA", at positions 509 to 807 of the family's 1533-position model. The record is from RNAcentral.
CAGCAGCCGCGGUAAUACGAAGGGUGCAAGCGUUACUCGGAAUUACUGGGCGUAAAGCGUGCGUAGGUGGUGGUUUAAGUCCGUUGUGAAAGCCCUGGGCUCAACCUGGGAAUUGCAGUGGAUACUGGGUCACUAGAGUGUGGUAGAGGAUAGUGGAAUUUCCGGUGUAGCAGUGAAAUGCGUAGAGAUCGGAAGGAACAUCUGUGGCGAAGGCGACUAUCUGGGCCAACACUGACACUGAGGCACGAAAGCGUGGGGAGCAAACAGGACUAGAUACCCGCGUAGUCCCUGUCUCUUAUAC